Molecule: ribosomal RNA, 467 nt
Filed under: Rhodoferax sp.
Lineage: Bacteria; Pseudomonadati; Pseudomonadota; Betaproteobacteria; Burkholderiales; Comamonadaceae
Description: bacterial SSU rRNA
Rfam family: Bacterial small subunit ribosomal RNA
Source: RNAcentral
UGCCGCGUGCAGGAUGAAGGCCUUCGGGUUGUAAACUGCUUUUGUACGGAACGAAACGGUGAGCUCUAAUACAGUUUGCUAAUGACGGUACCGUAAGAAUAAGCACCGGCUAACUACGUGCCAGCAGCCGCGGUAAUACGUAGGGUGCGAGCGUUAAUCGGAAUUACUGGGCGUAAAGCGUGCGCAGGCGGUUAUAUAAGACAGAUGUGAAAUCCCCGGGCUCAACCUGGGACCUGCAUUUGUGACUGUAUAGCUAGAGUACGGUAGAGGGGGAUGGAAUUCCGCGUGUAGCAGUGAAAUGCGUAGAUAUGCGGAGGAACACCGAUGGCGAAGGCAAUCCCCUGGACCUGUACUGACGCUCAUGCACGAAAGCGUGGGGAGCAAACAGGAUUAAAUACCCUGGUAGUCCACGCCCUAAACGAUGUCAACUGGUUGUUGGNUCUUCACUGACUCACUAACGAAGCUAA